CAGUAGCCACGGGAAUACGUAGGGUGCGAGCGUUAAUCGGAAUUACUGGGCGUAAAGCGUGCGCAGGCGGCUUUGCAAGACAGAUGUGAAAUCCCCGGGCUCAACCUGGGAACUGCAUUUGUGACUGCAAAGCUAGAGUACGGUAGAGGGGGAUGGAAUUCCGCGUGUAGCAGUGAAAUGCGUAGAUAUGCGGAGGAACACCAAUGGCGAAGGCAAUCCCCUGGACCUGUACUGACGCUCAUGCACGAAAGCGUGGGGAGCAAACAGGAUUAGAUACCCCGGUAGUCCCUGUCUCUUAUAC
RNAcentral lists this ribosomal RNA (301 nucleotides) under uncultured bacterium. RNAcentral's name for it is "partial 16S ribosomal RNA". It matches the Rfam family "Bacterial small subunit ribosomal RNA", at positions 509 to 807 of the family's 1533-position model. The record is from RNAcentral.